This 482-nucleotide ribosomal RNA is filed under the name uncultured bacterium. Its description in RNAcentral is "bacterial SSU rRNA". It matches the Rfam family "Bacterial small subunit ribosomal RNA", at positions 28 to 507 of the family's 1533-position model. The record is from RNAcentral.
GAUGAACGCUAGCUACAGGCUUAACACAUGCAAGUCGAGGGGUCUUUUGGAGCUUGCUUUGAAAGACGACCGGCGCACGGGUGAGUAACGCGUAUCCAACCUGCCCUUCAUAUUGGGAUAGCCUUCCGAAAGGAAGAUUAAUACCGAAUAACAUGAGAGAGUUGCCUGAUUUUCUCAUGAAAGCUCCGGCGAUGAAGGAUGGGGAUGCGUUCCAUUAGGUAGUAGGCGGGGUAACGGCCCACCUAGCCAACGAUGGAUAGGGGUUCUGAGAGGAAGGUCCCCCACACUGGAACUGAGACACGGUCCAGACUCCUACGGGAGGCAGCAGUGAGGAAUAUUGGUCAAUGGGCGCAAGCCUGAACCAGCCAUGCCGCGUGAAGGUCACGGCCCUAUGGGUCUUAAACUUCUUUUGUAAGGGAGCAAUAAGUCUCACGUGUGGGAUGAUGAGAGUACCUUACGAAUAAGCAUCGGCUAACUCCGUG